Molecule: ribosomal RNA, 253 nt
Filed under: uncultured bacterium
Lineage: Bacteria
Description: partial 16S ribosomal RNA
Rfam family: Bacterial small subunit ribosomal RNA
Source: RNAcentral
UACAUAGGGUGCGAGCGUUAAUCGGAAUUACUGGGCGUAAAGCGUGCGUAGACGGUUUUGUAAGUCGGAUGUGAAAUCCCCGGGCUCAACCUGGGAAUUGCAUUCGAGACUGCAAGGCUUGGGUGCGGAAGAGGGAAGCGGAAUUUCCGGUGUAGCGGUGAAAUGCGUAGAUAUCGGAAGGAACAUCAGUGGCGAAAGCGGCUUCCUGGUCCAGCACCGACGUUCAGGCACGAAAGCGUGGGGAGCAAACAGG